AUGGCGCCGCACGCCCCUCGCCGGCUUGCCCGAGAGGCGAGGGCGCGGCGCCGGGAGGCUGGGGUCCAAUUUAAUCACCAGGCCGCGCGGGACGGAGGCCGGGGGUCUCUAUUUUCCGUCAGGCAACGCCGACCUCGGAACCGCGCCCGGCCGCCCGCCCCUGCCCCUUGCCCCCUCCCGCACCGGGCCGGCUCCCCCUCCCGGCCGGGCUCGGCGGCGCGGGCGCGGGGGCGUGGGCGGAGCCGCGGCCCGGCAGUUCAUUACGUUGGACAGGGCGCGUCUGCGCCUCGGGCUGCUGCGGCUCCCCGGGCCUCCGCCUGCAGCCGGCAGCGGAACGGGGGCAGGCGGCUGAGACGGGCGAGCUAUUUGCAUUCCCCGGCAGUCAUUUUUAUAUGCGGAGGUAAUGAAGUUGUCAGCAGCGUCCCGAGUGUGGCAGAGCCUGAUAUUCAAAUCGCCCUGCCCGCUCCGCCUGCUCCCGCCCGCGGGUCCCGGGAGUCCCGGGCUGCGCGCGCCCGCCCCGCAUCAUCGCUUCGCCCGCGACCGCGCGCGCCUCCCUGUCCUCCCCCGCGCCUUUGUCUCCGUCUCCCUCUCCUUUCCCUAGUCUUUUGUGUCCCGCCAGACUUAGCUCCAGAAACCAGCCACACUUCUGCGUCCCCGCACGCCGGUACCCUUCACCCCGGGCGAAACCCAGCACACAGCUAUUCUGUCAGGCUGCUGAGAAAAGGCUGCCCGGGUGAGGAAAUGAGGCGGAAAGGUGGUUGAAACUGCCUGGAGUGGGUGAAGGAAGGCAGUGAACACCCAUGCUCCUCCGGUUGGUUUUCCUGGGCCUCUGCAACCGUGCUCCUCACUGGGGCAGCCAUGACCACAAGAGGCUGCUGAGCGCUUGCAGCGUGGCCAGGCCAGACCAAGAUGUUUUCCAAGUGGGAAAUACACACUCCAUUGUAAAGAAGACUAUGAAAAAAAGAAUGUGAACUGGCUUAUUCAUCAUUUAAAAACAACCCUUAUCGCAUAUUGAAAUGAUAACAUUUUCGGUAUAUAGGGUGAAAUAAAGUAUCAUGAAUUAAAUCUGGUUCUUUUUUA
Long non-coding RNA from Cebus imitator (Panamanian white-faced capuchin), 1080 nucleotides. RefSeq annotates it as tRNA (guanine-N(7)-)-methyltransferase. The transcript has 3 exons. Lineage: Eukaryota; Metazoa; Chordata; Mammalia; Primates; Cebidae. The record is from RefSeq and is a predicted model, not a curated record.